GACGAACGCUGGCGGCGUGCUUAACACAUGCAAGUCGAACGGAAAGGCCCUGCUUUUGUGGGGUGCUCGAGUGGCGAACGGGUGAGUAACACGUGAGUAACCUGCCCUUGACUUUGGGAUAACUUCAGGAAACUGGGGCUAAUACCGGAUAGGAGCUCCUGCUGCAUGGUGGGGGUUGGAAAGUUUCGGCGGGUGGGGAUGGACUCGCGGCUUAUCAGCUUGUUGGUGGGGUAGUGGCUUACCAAGGCUUUGACGGGUAGCCGGCCUGAGAGGGUGACCGGCCACCUUGGGACUGAGAUACGGCGCAGACUCCUACGGGAGGCAGCAGUGGGGAAUAUUGCACAAUGGGCGGAAGCCUGAUGCAGCAACGCCGCGUGCGGGAUGACGGCCUUCGGGUUGUAAACCGCUUUCGCCUGUGACGAAGCGUGAGUGACGGUAAUGGGUAAAGAAGCACCGGCUAACUACGUG
RNAcentral lists this ribosomal RNA (468 nucleotides) under uncultured bacterium. Its description in RNAcentral is "partial 16S ribosomal RNA". It matches the Rfam family "Bacterial small subunit ribosomal RNA", at positions 28 to 507 of the family's 1533-position model. The record is from RNAcentral.